UCCUCCAAGGCUAAAUACUCCUGACUGACCGAUAGUGAACCAGUACCGUGAGGGAAAGGCGAAAAGAACCCCGGCGAGGGGAGUGAAAAAGAACCUGAAACCGUGUACGUACAAGCAGUGGGAGCACGCUUAGGCGUGUGACUGCGUACCUUUUGUAUAAUGGGUCAGCGACUUAUAUUCUGUAGCAAGGUUAACCGAAUAGGGGAGCCGAAGGGAAACCGAGUCUUAACUGGGCGUUAAGUUGCAGGGUAUAGACCCGAAACCCGGUGAUCUAGCCAUGGGCAGGUUGAAGGUUGGGUAACACUAACUGGAGGACCGAACCGACUAAUGUUGAAAAAUUAGCGGAUGACUUGUGGCUGGGGGUGAAAGGCCAAUCAAACCGGGAGAUAGCUGGUUCUCCCCGAAAGCUAUUUAGGUAGCGCCUCGUGAAUUCAUCUCCGGGGGUAGAGCACUGUUUCGGCAAGGGGGUCAUCCCGACUUACCAACCCGAUGCAAACUGCGAAUACCGGAGAAUGUUAUCACGGGAGACACACGGCGGGUGCUAACGUCCGUCGUGAAGAGGGAAACAACCCAGACCGCCAGCUAAGGUCCCAAAGUCAUGGUUAAGUGGGAAACGAUGUGGGAAGGCCCAGACAGCCAGGAUGUUGGCUUAGAAGCAGCCAUCAUUUAAAGAAAGCGUAAUAGCUCACUGGUCGAGUCGGCCUGCGCGGAAGAUGUAACGGGGCUAAACCAUGCACCGAAGCUGCGGCAGCGACGCUGAUGCGUUGUUGGGUAGGGGAGCGUUCUGUAAGCCUGUGAAGGUGUGCUGUGAGGCAUGCUGGAGGUAUCAGAAGUGCGAAUGCUGACAUAAGUAACGAUAAAGCGGGUGAAAAGCCCGCUCGCCGGAAGACCAAGGGUUCCUGUCCAACGUUAAUCGGGGCAGGGUGAGUCGACCCCUAAGGCGAGGCCGAAAGGCGUAGUCGAUGGGAAACAGGUUAAUAUUCCUGUACUUGGUGUUACUGCGAAGGGGGGACGGAGAAGGCUAUGUUGGCCGGGCGACGGUUGUCCCGGUUUAAG
RNAcentral lists this ribosomal RNA (1056 nucleotides) under Escherichia coli. Its description in RNAcentral is "partial 23S ribosomal RNA". It matches the Rfam family "Bacterial large subunit ribosomal RNA", at positions 456 to 1516 of the family's 2925-position model. Lineage: Bacteria; Pseudomonadati; Pseudomonadota; Gammaproteobacteria; Enterobacterales; Enterobacteriaceae. The record is from RNAcentral.